RNAcentral lists this microRNA precursor (78 nucleotides) under Apteryx owenii (little spotted kiwi). Its description in RNAcentral is "mir-103/107 microRNA precursor family". It matches the Rfam family "mir-103/107 microRNA precursor family". From Rfam's summary of the family: This family consists of the mammalian microRNA (miRNA) precursors mir-103 and mir107. RNAcentral also lists the same sequence under 2 other names. Lineage: Eukaryota; Metazoa; Chordata; Aves; Apterygiformes; Apterygidae. The record is from Rfam by way of RNAcentral.
UUGUGCUUUCAGCUUCUUUACAGUGCUGCCUUGUUGCGUUCAUGUCAAGCAGCAUUGUACAGGGCUAUGAAAGCACAG